UACGUAGGGGGCAAGCGUUGUCCGGAUUUAUUGGGCGUAAAGAGCGUGUAGGCGGCCAGGUAGGUCUGCUGUGAAAACUCGAGGCUUAACCUCGAGCUGUCGGCGGAAACCAUCUGGCUAGAGUCCGGAAGAGGAGAAUGGAAUUCCCGGUGUAGCGGUGAAAUGCGCAGAUAUCGGGAAGAACACCUAUGGCGAAGGCAGCUCGCUGGGACGUUACUGACGCUGAGACGCGAAAGCGUGGGGAGCAAACAGG
Molecule: ribosomal RNA, 253 nt
Filed under: uncultured bacterium
Lineage: Bacteria
Description: partial 16S ribosomal RNA
Rfam family: Bacterial small subunit ribosomal RNA
Source: RNAcentral